CAAUUGCGAAGGCAGCUUUCUGGAUCAUUACUGACACUGAGGAACGAAAGCAUGGGUAGCGAAGAGGAUUAGAUACCCUCGUAGUCCAUGCCGUAAACGAUGUGUGUUAGACGUUGGAAAUUUAUUUUCAGUGUCGCAGGGAAACCGAUAAACACACCGCCUGGGGAGUACGACCGCAAGGUUAAAACUCAAAUGAAUUGACGGGGACCCGCACAAGUAGUGGAGCAUGUGGUUUAAUUCGAAGAUACGCGCAGAACCUUACCAACACUUGACAUGUUCGUCGCGACUCUAAGAGAUUAGAGUUUUCGGUUCGGCCGGACGAAACACAGGUGCUGCAUGGCUGUCGUCAGCUCGUGUCGUGAGAUGUUGGGUUAAGUCCCGCAACGAGCGCAACCCUCACUUUUAGUUGCCAUCAUUAAGUUGGGCACUCUGAAAGAACUGCCAGUGAUAAGCUGGAGGAAGGUGGGGAUGACGUCAAGUCCUCAUGGUCCUUACGUGUUGGGCUACACACGUGCUACAAUGGCAUCUACAACAGGAAGCAAAACGGCAACGUUAAGCAAAUCCCGAAAAGAUGCCUCAGUUCGGAUUGCACUCUGCAACUCGAGUGCAUGAAGCUGGAAUUACUAGUAAUCGUGGAUCAGCGUGCCACGGUGAAUGCGUUCCCGGGUCUUGUACACACCGCCCGUCACACCAUGGGAGUUGGUUCUACCUUAAGGCAAGGUUUCAAACCCUUGACCACGGUAUAGUCAGCGACUGGGGUGAAGUCGUAACAAGGUAACCGUA
RNAcentral lists this ribosomal RNA (783 nucleotides) under uncultured bacterium. RNAcentral describes it as "bacterial SSU rRNA". It matches the Rfam family "Bacterial small subunit ribosomal RNA", at positions 708 to 1504 of the family's 1533-position model. The record is from RNAcentral.